Molecule: ribosomal RNA, 2915 nt
Filed under: Vibrio parahaemolyticus O1:Kuk str. FDA_R31
Lineage: Bacteria; Pseudomonadati; Pseudomonadota; Gammaproteobacteria; Vibrionales; Vibrionaceae
Description: bacterial LSU rRNA
Rfam family: Bacterial large subunit ribosomal RNA
Source: RNAcentral
GUUGUAUGGUUAAGUGACUAAGCGUACACGGUGGAUGCCUUGGCAGUCAGAGGCGAUGAAAGACGUAGUAACUUGCGAUAAGCCCAGAUUAGGUAGUAACAACCAUUUGAGUCUGGGAUUUCUGAAUGGGGAAACCCACGUGCAUAAGCACGUAUCCUUACCUGAAUACAUAGGGUAAGGAGGCGAACCGGGGGAACUGAAACAUCUAAGUACCCCGAGGAAAAGAAAUCAACCGAGAUUCCGAAAGUAGCGGCGAGCGAAAUUGGACUAGCCCUUAAGCUUUAUAGGCGUUAGGUGAACAAGCUGGAAAGCUUGGCGAUACAGGGUGAUAGCCCCGUAACUGACGACGCAUAUUCAGUGAAAUCGAGUAGGGCGGGACACGUGAUAUCCUGUCUGAAUAUGGGGGGACCAUCCUCCAAGGCUAAAUACUACUGACUGACCGAUAGUGAACCAGUACCGUGAGGGAAAGGCGAAAAGAACCCCUGUGAGGGGAGUGAAAUAGAACCUGAAACCGUGUACGUACAAGCAGUAGGAGCAGGCUUGUCCUGUGACUGCGUACCUUUUGUAUAAUGGGUCAGCGACUUAUAUUCAGUGGCAAGGUUAACCAUCUAGGGGAGCCGUAGGGAAACCGAGUCUUAACUGGGCGUUCAGUCUCUGGAUAUAGACCCGAAACCAGGUGAUCUAGCCAUGGGCAGGUUGAAGGUUGAGUAACAUCAACUGGAGGACCGAACCGACUAAUGUUGAAAAAUUAGCGGAUGACUUGUGGCUAGGGGUGAAAGGCCAAUCAAACCUGGAGAUAGCUGGUUCUCCCCGAAAGCUAUUUAGGUAGCGCCUCGGACGAAUACUACUGGGGGUAGAGCACUGUUAAGGCUAGGGGGUCAUCCCGACUUACCAACCCUUUGCAAACUCCGAAUACCAGUAAGUACUAUCCGGGAGACACACGGCGGGUGCUAACGUCCGUCGUGGAGAGGGAAACAACCCAGACCGCCAGCUAAGGUCCCAAAUUACUACUAAGUGGGAAACGAUGUGGGAAGGCUCAGACAGCCAGGAUGUUGGCUUAGAAGCAGCCAUCAUUUAAAGAAAGCGUAAUAGCUCACUGGUCGAGUCGGCCUGCGCGGAAGAUGUAACGGGGCUAAGUAGUAAACCGAAGCUGCGGCAAUAUACUUUUGUAUAUUGGGUAGGGGAGCGUUCUGUAAGCGGUUGAAGGUGUGUGGUAACGCAUGCUGGACGUAUCAGAAGUGCGAAUGCUGACAUGAGUAACGAUAAAGGGGGUGAAAAACCUCCUCGCCGGAAGACCAAGGGUUCCUGUCCAACGUUAAUCGGGGCAGGGUAAGUCGACCCCUAAGGCGAGGCCGAAAGGCGUAGUCGAUGGGAAACGGGUUAAUAUUCCCGUACUUCUUACAAUUGCGAUGGGGGGACGGAGAAGGCUAGGUGGGCCUGGCGACGGUUGUCCAGGUUCAAGUGCGUAGGCUUAAGAGUUAGGUAAAUCCGGCUCUUUCUAAGGCUGAGACACGACGUCGAGCAUCUACGGAUGUGAAGUCAUUGAUGCCAUGCUUCCAGGAAAAGCCUCUAAGCUUCAGAUUGUAAGGAAUCGUACCCCAAACCGACACAGGUGGUCGGGUAGAGAAUACCAAGGCGCUUGAGAGAACUCGGGUGAAGGAACUAGGCAAAAUGGUACCGUAACUUCGGGAGAAGGUACGCUCUCGACGGUGAAGUCCCUUGCGGAUGGAGCUAUUGAGAGUCGCAGAUACCAGGUGGCUGCAACUGUUUAUUAAAAACACAGCACUGUGCAAAAUCGUAAGAUGACGUAUACGGUGUGACGCCUGCCCGGUGCCGGAAGGUUAAUUGAUGGGGUUAGACUUCGGUCGAAGCUCUUGAUCGAAGCCCCGGUAAACGGCGGCCGUAACUAUAACGGUCCUAAGGUAGCGAAAUUCCUUGUCGGGUAAGUUCCGACCUGCACGAAUGGCGUAAUGAUGGCCACGCUGUCUCCACCCGAGACUCAGUGAAAUUGAAAUCGCUGUGAAGAUGCAGUGUACCCGCGGCUAGACGGAAAGACCCCGUGAACCUUUACUACAGCUUGGCACUGAACAUUGACCCUACAUGUGUAGGAUAGGUGGGAGGCUUUGAAGCACGUACGCCAGUAUGUGUGGAGCCGUCCUUGAAAUACCACCCUUGUAGUGUUGAUGUUCUAACGUCGACCCCUUAUCGGGGUUGCGGACAGUGCCUGGUGGGUAGUUUGACUGGGGCGGUCUCCUCCCAAAGAGUAACGGAGGAGCACGAAGGUGGGCUAAUCACGGUUGGACAUCGUGAGGUUAGUGCAAUGGCAUAAGCCCGCUUGACUGCGAGAAUGACAAUUCGAGCAGGUGCGAAAGCAGGUCAUAGUGAUCCGGUGGUUCUGAAUGGAAGGGCCAUCGCUCAACGGAUAAAAGGUACUCCGGGGAUAACAGGCUGAUACCGCCCAAGAGUUCAUAUCGACGGCGGUGUUUGGCACCUCGAUGUCGGCUCAUCACAUCCUGGGGCUGAAGUCGGUCCCAAGGGUAUGGCUGUUCGCCAUUUAAAGUGGUACGCGAGCUGGGUUUAGAACGUCGUGAGACAGUUCGGUCCCUAUCUGCCGUGGGCGUUGGAAGAUUGAAGGGGGCUGCUCCUAGUACGAGAGGACCGGAGUGGACGAACCUCUGGUGUUCGGGUUGUGUCGCCAGACGCAUUGCCCGGUAGCUAAGUUCGGAAUCGAUAACCGCUGAAAGCAUCUAAGCGGGAAGCGAGCCCUGAGAUGAGUCUUCCCUGAUACUUUAAGUAUCCUAAAGGGUUGUCGGAGACUACGACGUUGAUAGGUCAGGUGUGUAAGUGCUGUGAGGCAUUGAGCUAACUGAUACUAAUUGCCCGUGAGGCUUAACCAUACAACACCCAAGGGGUUU